Molecule: ribosomal RNA, 482 nt
Filed under: uncultured bacterium
Lineage: Bacteria
Description: partial 16S ribosomal RNA
Rfam family: Bacterial small subunit ribosomal RNA
Source: RNAcentral
AUUGAACGCUGGCGGCAUGCCUUACACAUGCAAGUCGAACGGUAACGGGCCUUCGGGUGCCGACGAGUGGCGAACGGGUGCGUAAUACAUCGGAACGUGCCCGAUCGUGGGGGAUAACGAGGCGAAAGCUUUGCUAAUACCGCAUACGAUCUACGGAUGAAAGCAGGGGACCGCAAGGCCUUGCGCGGACGGAGCGGCCGAUGGCAGAUUAGGUAGUUGGUGGGAUAAAAGCUUACCAAGCCGACGGUCUGUAGCUGGUCUGAGAGGAUGAUCAGCCACACUGGGACUGAGACACGGCCCAGACUCCUACGGGAGGCAGCAGUGGGGAAUUUUGGACAAUGGGCGCAAGCCUGAUCCAGCCAUGCCGCGUGCAGGAUGAAGGCCUUCGGGUUGUAAACUGCUUUUGUACGGAACGAAAAGCCUUCUUUUAAUACAGGAGGGUCAUGACGGUACCGUAAGAAUAAGCACCGGCUAACUACGUG